This 104-nucleotide ribosomal RNA is filed under the name uncultured bacterium. RNAcentral's name for it is "partial 16S ribosomal RNA". It matches the Rfam family "Bacterial small subunit ribosomal RNA", at positions 1379 to 1482 of the family's 1533-position model. The record is from RNAcentral.
CCUUGUACACACUGCCCGUCACACCACGAAAGUUGGUAACACCCGAAGCCAGUGGCCCAACCCUCGGGAGGGAGCUGUCGAAGGUGGGAUCAGCGAUUGGGGUG